ACAUAGAAAAUCCAAAUACAUGAAUCACCUAAAUGCACAUUGAAAAUCCAAAUGAAUGCAGAUUGAAAAUCCAAAUACAUGGACUACCUAAAUAUACAUUGAAAAUCUAAAUAAAUGCACAUUGAAAAUCUAAAUAAAUGCACAUUGAAAAUCCAAAUACAUAAACCACCUGAAAGCACAUUGAAAACCCAAAUGAAUGGACAUUGAAAAUCCAAAUACACGAACCACUAAUCUCAAGGUGACCCUUCAUAUAUUCAUGAACCUCCCAAAAAAUAUUUAUUAAGUUUAUUUUCUCAACACC
Molecule: long non-coding RNA, 301 nt
Filed under: Phoenix dactylifera (date palm)
Lineage: Eukaryota; Viridiplantae; Streptophyta; Magnoliopsida; Arecales; Arecaceae
Description: long non-coding RNA (PDAC_LNC007551)
Source: RNAcentral